ACUGUCCUUACGGGUGAAUACGGGCGUCUGCAGGUAGAAAAUGGUCUAACCUCUAUGGAAAACACAAUAAAUAUCAAAGUCAUAGACUGCUGAGUGAACCUGUAGAGAGAAAAUGUUCUUGAACAUGUUUAUCUAUGGGUUUGCUGCGGGCGACCGGUCGUAGUGAACACUUCUAGGACAUGUAUGGGUAAGUAAGGGUCAGUGUUAGCACGGGUAAAACUGUCCCGGUUCUGCCACCAACAGCGCAUGCUACGGCGGCGUGUCUCCACUUUCUUUCUGCUGCUGGGUUUCCUGUGCGGUCCACCAACAAACACUGUCAUCAGUUCCCUCUCAAUGGGGACGCUUGAGUUUAGUGCUGGUAAACACUGGUGUCAUGGAUUCUGAGAGAUGGGGGGUCACCGUAUCCCCCCUCUUUUUAACCUUGUAAAUGUCUCUUGUAUUUUUCUUCUCCCUUCGCCCCCCCGUCCCUCCACCCCUCUAGUCGGACUCUUUGCUCAUGAUAUGCCACAGAGAGACACAAUUAUCCACUUCAUUUGAGUCGUGGUGCUAAUGGCGGCCUCUUGGGGAGGUGGGUGAUAGGUAGCAGUAAUUGUAAAUGGUGUAAUGAGUGUGGAACGGCCACAGUGGAGCGCUCCACCAUUACAGGUGAACUCACCCCCCCAACAACAAGUAAGCACCCCUCCCCUCUGUUCUCCUUCAGGGUUGAGCAGAGACACAGGAAAUAUUAGCCUCACAGACCAUUACUCCCGAGUGGCUCGGCUGCUGCGCCUUCGUGCCUCGUUGUGCAGAUGGCCUUCUCACCUCUCAGCCACGCUUUUUUUCGGGUUGUUUUGCUUCGCCUCGCUAAAAAGAUGUCACUGCUUUGUGUCCUAAACAUACAGGAAGCCUCGCUGGAGGACGCUGGCGUGAUGGACGUCCUGACAUCUGGGACGACAUCCAGCCUGGGUGAUGCUAAAGAGGGCGAGGCGGCUAUAGGACCGGCUCGGUUGGACGGACGGACGGACAGAUGGUGUGUUUUGGAUUUUGGCCCCUGUGUGACUGAGUUUGAUCCCCCUCCCUCUCCUUCCUGCCGGUGACAUCACCGCACCUGCACACAGACAGUGAGGACUGGAGGAGACCGUCCGGAGUGGAGAACGAUGGUGACCCGUUCAUGAGAGACGGUGAAGGAACGGCGAGGAAGACUGCUGGACUGAACGACCUCUGAACUCUGUGUCGGGGCGUCUCAGACCAAAAGAUGUUUCAGGGAUUUCACACAAAAGUUUGGUUUUUCUGAACUCUGAAUCCUUAAUCUGCCUGAAAUCUGCUUUACUUGCAGGUGAACUCUGCUGUGGGUCAUCCCAGUGUGAAUGUGGUCUGAUUCCCUAAGAACACAGAGCAAAGGAUGGUGUGCAUUAUGAAAAGAGACCUAAAGAAAAACAAAAAUUUAGAAAACGUCUGUGUUUACUUUAUAGAAGGAAACUGAAUGGUGGUGUAGUGGUUCGCCUAUCUCCUCAAAAAGAGAAGAUUCUGGUUCGAAUCCCGGCUGGGUCCUUUCUCCAGAGUCUCCAGUCUCCUCCCUCAGUCCAAACACACUGAGUUAGGGUUUCUAAGGUUGCAUCUAAGUGUGUGAAUGUGUGACCCUUUAAACCCCGCCUUCUUCCAAUGGUAGUUGGGAUAGGCUCCAGCAACCCAAAUAUUCCAAUAGGGAUUCAGCAGAUUCAGAAAAUGAAUGAAUGGACAGACGAACGGAUGGAUUUGUUUUAAAAAAUUUAAGUACAAAAUACUUUAACUCAAUAGCUUAAAUAUAACAAACCUGAAUUAACUUUACUAAAUAUGAUUCACUUUUUUUGUGUAAAAAAUAUCUUUACAAAAAUAUUUUUCUAGUGUAAAAACAUUGUAUUUCACGAGAGCUAUUUAUCCUAAAAUAUUAAACUUAAU
Long non-coding RNA from Oryzias melastigma (Indian medaka), 1917 nucleotides. RefSeq lists it as uncharacterized. The record is from RefSeq and is a predicted model, not a curated record. The transcript is spliced from 3 exons. Lineage: Eukaryota; Metazoa; Chordata; Actinopteri; Beloniformes; Adrianichthyidae.